Molecule: long non-coding RNA, 208 nt
Filed under: Phoenix dactylifera (date palm)
Lineage: Eukaryota; Viridiplantae; Streptophyta; Magnoliopsida; Arecales; Arecaceae
Description: long non-coding RNA (PDAC_LNC004461)
Source: RNAcentral
UCUUUAUAAUAGGACUCCAAAGAUCGUGCAAAUCGAGGAGCGUCCUGCAUCUGCUGCUGCUGCUCAAGGAGCUAAGCCACCACCUGGCAUACUCCAAAAAUGUCUGCCCUAGUGGCUGGGGCAUUUGGAGCUUGCAUAACCGGCGGGUUGGCAUCUCCUCUCGUGGUCACUCUUGCUCCUCUUCUUUUGGCAUCAGAAUUUGCUAAAA